Molecule: ribosomal RNA, 500 nt
Filed under: uncultured bacterium
Lineage: Bacteria
Description: partial 16S ribosomal RNA
Rfam family: Bacterial small subunit ribosomal RNA
Source: RNAcentral
AUUGAACGCUGGCGGCAUGCCUUACACAUGCAAGUCGAACGGCAGCACGGGAGCAAUCCUGGUGGCGAGUGGCGAACGGGUGAGUAAUGUAUCGGAACGUGCCCAGUCGUGGGGGAUAGCGCAGCGAAAGCUGUGCUAAUACCGCAUACGAUCUAUGGAUGAAAGCGGGGGAUCGCAAGACCUCGCGCGAUUGGAGCGGCCGAUAUCAGAUUAGGUAGUUGGUGGGGUAAAGGCCCACCAAGCCGACGAUCUGUAGCUGGUCUGAGAGGACGACCAGCCACACUGGGACUGAGACACGGCCCAGAGUCCUACGGGAGGCAGCAGUGGGGAAUUUUGGACAAUGGGCGCAAGCCUGAUCCAGCAAUGCCGCGUGCAGGAUGAAGGCCUUCGGGUUGUAAACUGCUUUUGUACGGAGCGAAACGGCUUCCACUAAUACUGGGGGCUAAUGACGGUACCGUAAGAAUAAGCACCGGCUAACUACGUGCCAGCCGCCGCCGUAA